UUCAGACGUCAUGACACUGGGCUGCUAUCUUCUUCAUUGUGCAUCUCUUAAGAAUAUGGACUUUCUCCUGUGUACUUCAAUACCAUUAAAACACCUAAGACAAUUAACAAAAAUUACAUAAUAUCUUUUUAAAAAAUUAAUUAAUUUUUUUUGAGACGACGUUUCAUUCUUGUUGCCCAGGCUGGAGUGCAGUGAUGUGAUCUUGGCUCACUGCAACCUCCGCCUCCCACGUUCAAGCAAUUCUCCUGCCUCAGCCUCCCGAGUAGCUGGGAUUACAGGUGCCUACCAUCAUGCCCAGCUAAUUUUUGUAUUUUUAGUAGACACGGGGUUUCACCAUGUUGGCCAACCUGGUCUUGAACUUCUGACCUCAGAUAAUCCACCUGCCUUGGCCUCCCAAAGUAUUGGGAUUACAGGUGUGAGCCAUGGUGCCUGAACAAAAAUUACAUAAUAUCUAAUAUCCAGUCCUUAUUUGAAUUUUUCCUAUUGCUCCUCAAAUAAGUCUUUCAUUAUUUUAUAGUCUUUUAUUACUUUAUCCAAAAUCCAGUUAGGUUUCAUCAUUGCAUCUUUUGCAUGACUGUUUAGUUUACUGAAGAUUGUUCUUAAAAUUUGUUUAAGAAUGUCCUUUUUAAAGAGGAGAUUACAUGGGUUUUACCUAUAUUUUCUACUAGUUUAAAAUUUCUUUUUGUAGUAACACACUUUUAUAUUGAACUGGAAUUUAUUUGGGUUAUGGUUUCUGCUGGAUGUCUCAGAUUGUUUUUCUUUCUAAAUAGCUUAUUUCAUUCCAGCAAAACUGUCUUAGGAUCUGGCCCAUUGAUAUUAUACCAAUUCCAUAUGUAUAUAUAAUUGUAGAUUUGUAAUGGAUUUUAAUAUAUAGUAGGUCUAAUCACCAUUAUCGUCAUUUCCAUUGUUCUUUUUUUGAAUAGUUGCACAUGUUUCUUCCCUUAAAUAAAUAUUAUAAUCUUUUCUUUCCACAUUGUAUAAAGAAUAGCACAUUUGUAUGUUCACUGAGAUUCUAGUAACCCUCUAUAACUAUCUUUUACUAAAGUUUCAUUGUUUUCUUGCUUGAUAACUCUCAGUACUUGAUAGGAAUUUUAAUCUAUAUUAAUGUCACUCAAUAGGUUUCAAAGCUUAGGUGAAUAUGUAUAGAAUAUUGUCUUAGGUGAACAUAUAUAGGUAAAUAUUUAUUGUUUGUUCACUCAUAAAUAUUCUAAAUUGUAUUCCAACAUGAAGCCACAGAGAGCCACAACUCUGCACAACAUUGACUUCUGAGAGAGGAGGAAGGAAGAAACCAGAUAAAGAAAUUGAGGCAGACAGAGGUUAGAGGAUUUGAACUGAUGUUGCCAGGACUUGAAACCAGACAGUGGCUUAUAUUAGAGUCUGUGCUCUCAGCUACCAUACUAUCUGCUGUUCUGCUGAUGACCUGGGGAAAGCUUCAUUCACUGGCAAAAGAGAACAAAGGACCAUGGAAUGUGGAACCUUGCCCAGCCUGCUGCUCAGGAGGCGAUUGCUCAAGGCUGUCUUAUGCAGAGGAGGUCAACAGUUGACCCAUGAACCAUUUAAACUGGAAGGAAGAAUUAACCAAUACCCUGAGAGAUUGACUACAACUACUUUUCCCUGAAAGUUGGAGUGCAGAGUACAGGAGAGGAAGGCCACUUACUAAUUUUCCUGCUUCCUUCACCAGUCCUCUACCUCUCCAUACCUAAGGUCCUUCACUCAAUAUACUCAAGUCUUCUCUGCUAUGACUGCAUUCCCACAUGCCACGGCAUAUAAAAGGUAGGAUAAGGAGUUCCAUCACUUCACACAAGCAUCUACCAGGAGGAGGAAAAUAAAAACAACAUUUUACCAUCAACUUCGCCACUUGCUGUGAAACCGAAGGCUUGUUAUAUAAGCGUUUGGGGACAUAAUAAAUGUGACUUACAUAUGUCAUCUGGGAGACAUGGUGUUUAUAUUUCUUGAGUUGAAUUGGGGCAGAAAAAAAUGGGCAUCUAAAAUGCUCAAUAAUUGAGAGAAACUUUAAAAGUUAUUCCUCACCCUAGUUUGUCUAAUAUCUAUCUUUAUCAUCUUAUUCGUCAGUUCCUUGGGAAAUUAAGAGAUUUAGAAAUUUCUACUGAAAUAAAAUGGAUUGUUUUGGAGACUGUUUCUGAAUAGUUGCAGAACUCCCCCAAAGUCCCAACACAAGUCUCAUUCCUCGUUUCCUCCUGACCCCCAGUAUUCUAGCUGAUUCAAGUUCACGCCCACAUCUUCUCUUCAGACGUGCAGUUCCUCAGAGAGUCUUCUUUGUGGCUCCUAGACUUAUUAUGUCAAGUACUGGAACACCAUGAACUUGCUAAGGAGCAAAUGCACACGUGUUCUACACC
Pan troglodytes (chimpanzee) is the source of this 2357-nucleotide long non-coding RNA. RefSeq lists it as uncharacterized. The record is from RefSeq and is a predicted model, not a curated record. The transcript is spliced from 3 exons. NCBI's taxonomy places the organism in Eukaryota, Metazoa, Chordata, Mammalia, Primates, Hominidae.